RNAcentral lists this ribosomal RNA (402 nucleotides) under Bacteroidota bacterium. Its description in RNAcentral is "Bacteroidetes bacterium partial 16S ribosomal RNA". It matches the Rfam family "Bacterial small subunit ribosomal RNA", at positions 355 to 776 of the family's 1533-position model. The record is from RNAcentral. Lineage: Bacteria; Pseudomonadati; Bacteroidota.
UGGGGAAUAUUGCACAAUGGAGGGAACUCUGAUGCAGCGACGCCGCGUGAACGAAGAAGGCUUUCGAGUCGUAAAGUUCUUUUAUAUGGGAAGAUAAUGACGGUACCAUAAGAAAAAGCCCCGGCUAACUACGUGCCAGCAGCCGCGGUAAUACGUAGGGGGCUAGCGUUGUCCGGAAUCACUGGGCGUAAAGGGUUCGCAGGCGGAAAUGCAAGUCAGGUGUAAAAGGCAGUAGCUUAACUACUGUAAGCAUUUGAAACUGCAUAUCUUGAGAAGAGUAGAGGUAAGUGGAAUUUUUGUGUAGCGGUGAAAUGCGUAGAUAUUAAAAAGAAUACCGGUGGCGAAGGCGACUUACUGGGCUCAUUCUGACGCUGAGGAACGAAAGCGUGGGUAGCAAACAGG